This 663-nucleotide ribosomal RNA is filed under the name Triticum aestivum (bread wheat). RNAcentral's name for it is "partial small subunit ribosomal RNA". The record is from RNAcentral. Lineage: Eukaryota; Viridiplantae; Streptophyta; Magnoliopsida; Poales; Poaceae.
AUGCAGCAGCAGCAGCAGCCGCCGCCUCCGAGGAGGAUGGUCGCGUCGAAGAAGCUCAUGAAAGUCGGGCCAUGGGGCGGCACCGGGGGCAACACGUGGGACGACGGCGGGCACACCGGGAUCCGCGGCGUCACACUGUCGUACGACCACCGCUGCGUCGUCUUCAUCGCCGUGGAGUACGACAGGAGCGGCCUCGCCGUCCCCGGCGAGCGGCACGGCGGCGCCGGCGGCAACCACACCACCCAGAUCAAGCUGAGCUUCCCGGACGAGCACCUGACGGCCGUGAGCGGCCGCUACGGCGCGGUGGCUCCCGGUGGCUCGCCAGUGAUCCGGUCGCUGGCGUUCAGGACGGAGCGCGCGGCGUACGGGCCGUUCGGCGCCGCCGAGGGCACGCCGUUCGAGUUCGCGGUGGAGGGCGGCGUGAUCGUGGGGUUCUGCGGGCGGAGCGGCUGGCAGCUGGACGCCGUCGGGAUGUACGUGGCGCCGCUGCGGCCGGAGAAGCUGUACGACAAGGUGCAUCACCUGGGGCUCAUGGCCUACCGCUCGGUCAUGCACCGGCUCGGGCCGGCGCCGGCACCGCCACAGGACGAGCUGCCGGAGGCGAGAGUUCAGCAUCAGCGUCAGAACGGCAGUGUGGUUCAGACAAGUCGCAAGAAUUACUAA